This 967-nucleotide ribosomal RNA is filed under the name uncultured bacterium. RNAcentral describes it as "bacterial SSU rRNA". It matches the Rfam family "Bacterial small subunit ribosomal RNA", at positions 532 to 1500 of the family's 1533-position model. The record is from RNAcentral.
CGACUAACGUAUCGGAUUUACUGGGCGUAAAGCGUGCGUAGGCGGCUGAUUAAGUCGGAUGUGAAAUCCCUGAGCUUAACUUAGGAAUUGCAUUCGAUACUGGUCAGCUAGAGUAUGGGAGAGGAUGGUAGAAUUCCAGGUGUAGCGGUGAAAUGCGUAGAGAUCUGGAGGAAUACCGAUGGCGAAGGCAGCCAUCUGGCCUAAUACUGACGCUGAGGUACGAAAGCAUGGGGAGCAAACGGGAUUAGAUACCCCGGUAGUCCUAGCCGUAAACGUUGGGCACUAGGUGUGGGAGGUAUCGACCCCUUCCGUGCCGCAGCUAACGCAUUAAGUGCCCCGCCUGGGGAGUACGGCCGCAAGACUAAAACUCAAAUGAAUUGACGGGGGCCCGCACAAGCGGUGGAGCAUGUGGUUUAAUUCGAUGCAACGCGAAGAACCUUACCUGGCCUUGACAUAGUAAGAACUUUCCAGAGAUGGAUUGGUGCCUUCGGGAACUUACAUACAGGUGCUGCAUGGCUGUCGUCAGCUCGUGUCGUGAGAUGUUGGGUUAAGUCCCGCAACGAGCGCAACCCUUUUCCUUAUUUGCCAGCACUUCGGGUGGGAACUUUAAGGAUACUGCCAGUGACAAACUGGAGGAAGGCGGGGACGACGUCAAGUCAUCAUGGCCCUUACGGCCAGGGCUACACACGUGCUACAAUGGUCGGUACAAAGGGUUGCUACACAGCGAUGUGAUGCUAAUCUCAAAAAGCCGAUCGUAGUCCGGAUUGGAGUCUGCAACUCGACUCCAUGAAGUCGGAAUCGCUGGUAAUCGCGGAUCAGAAUGCCGCGGUGAAUACGUUCCCGGGCCUUGUACACACCGCCCGUCACACCAUGGGAGUUUGUUGCACCAGAAGUAGCUAGCCUAACUGCAAAGAGGGCGGUUACCACGGUGUGGCCGAUGACUGGGGUGAAGUCGUAACAAGGUAAC